Molecule: ribosomal RNA, 800 nt
Filed under: uncultured bacterium
Lineage: Bacteria
Description: bacterial SSU rRNA
Rfam family: Bacterial small subunit ribosomal RNA
Source: RNAcentral
AGAGUUUGAUCCUGGCUCAGGAUGAAUUCUUGGCGGCGUGCUUAACACAUGCAAGUCGAACGGGAAUUACUUUAUUGAAACUUCGGUCGAUUUAAUUUAAUUCUAGUGGCGGACGGGUGAGUAACGCGUGGGUAACCUGCCCCUGUACAGGGGGAUAACAGUCAGAAAUGGCUUGCUAAUACCGCAUAAGACCACAGAGUUGCAUGGUGCAGGGGUAAAAACUCCGGUGGUACAGGAUGGACCCGCGUCUGAUUAGCUGGUUGGUGAGGUAACGGCUCACCAAGGCGACGAUCAGUAGCCGGCUUGAGAGAGUGAACGGCCACAUUGGGACUGAGACACGGCCCAAACUCCUACGGGAGGCAGCAGUGGGGAAUAUUGCACAAUGGGGGAAACCCUGAUGCAGCGACGCCGCGUGAGUGAAGAAGUAUUUCGGUAUGUAAAGCUCUAUCAGCAGGGAAGAAAAUGACGGUACCUGACUAAGAAGCCCCGGCUAACUACGUGCCAGCAGCCGCGGUAAUACGUAGGGGGCAAGCGUUAUCCGGAAUUACUGGGUGUAAAGGGUGCGUAGGUGGUAUGGCAAGUCAGAAGUGAAAACCCAGGGCUUAACUCUGGGACUGCUUUUGAAACUGUCAGACUGGAGUGCAGGAGAGGUAAGCGGAAUUCCUAGUGUAGCGGUGAAAUGCGUAGAUAUUAGGAGGAACAUCAGUGGCGAAGGCGGCUUACUGGACUGAAACUGACACUGAGGCACGAAAGCGUGGGGAGCAAACAGGAUUAGAUACCCUGGUAGUCCACGCCGUAAA